RNAcentral lists this transfer RNA (75 nucleotides) under bacterium. Its description in RNAcentral is "tRNA-Ile". It matches the Rfam family "tRNA". Rfam says of the family: Transfer RNA (tRNA) molecules are approximately 80 nucleotides in length. Their secondary structure includes four short double-helical elements and three loops (D, anti-codon, and T loops). The record is from RNAcentral.
UGGCGUAUAGUUCAGUGGUAGAACCGACCGCUCAUAACGGUCUUGUCGGGAGUUCGAUUCUCUCUGCGCCAACCA